Molecule: ribosomal RNA, 253 nt
Filed under: uncultured bacterium
Lineage: Bacteria
Description: partial 16S ribosomal RNA
Rfam family: Bacterial small subunit ribosomal RNA
Source: RNAcentral
UACAGAGGUCCCAAGCGUUGUUCGGAUUCAUUGGGCGUAAAGGGUGCGUAGGCGGCGCGCUAAGUCGGGUGUGAAAUUUCGGAGCUUAACUCCGAAACUGCAUUCGAUACUGGCGUGCUUGAGGACUGGAGAGGAGACUGGAAUUCAUGGUGUAGCAGUGAAAUGCGUAGAGAUCAUGAGGAAGACCAGUGGCGAAGGCGGGUCUCUGGACAGUUCCUGACACUGAGGCACGAAGGCCAGGGGAGCAAACGGG